UGGCUCAGGAUGAACGCUGGCGGCGUGCUUAACACAUGCAAGUCGAACGAUGAAGCCCAGCUUGCUGGGUGGAUUAGUGGCGAACGGGUGAGUAACACGUGAGCAACCUGCCCCGAUCUCUGGGAUAAGCGCUGGAAACGGCGUCUAAUACCGGAUAUGCACCAGAACGGCAUCGUUACUGGUGGGAAAGAUUUUUCGGUUCGGGAGGGGCUCGCGUCCUAUCAGCUUGUUGGUGAGGUAAUGGCUCACCAAGGCGUCGACGGGUAGCCGGCCUGAGAGGGUGACCGGCCACACUGGGACUGAGACACGGCCCAGACUCCUACGGGAGGCAGCAGUGGGGAAUAUUGCACAAUGGGCGCAAGCCUGAUGCAGCAACGCCGCGUGAGGGAUGACGGCCUUCGGGUUGUAAACCUCUUUUAGUAGGGAAGAAGCCUUCGGGUGACGGUACCUGCAGAAAAAGCACCGGCUAACUACGUGCCAGCAGCCGCGGUAAUACGUAGGGUGCAAGCGUUAUCCGGAAUUAUUGGGCGUAAAGAGCUCGUAGGCGGUUUGUCGCGUCUGCUGUGAAAACUGGAGGCUCAACCUCCAGCUUGCAGUGGGUACGGGCAGACUAGAGUGCGGUAGGGGAGAUUGGAAUUCCUGGUGUAGCGGUGGAAUGCGCAGAUAUCAGGAGGAACACCGAUGGCGAAGGCAGAUCUCUGGGCCGUAACUGACGCUGAGGAGCGAAAGAGUGGGGAGCAAACAGGAUUAGAUACCCUG
This 759-nucleotide ribosomal RNA is filed under the name Microbacterium sp. RNAcentral describes it as "bacterial SSU rRNA". It matches the Rfam family "Bacterial small subunit ribosomal RNA", at positions 20 to 789 of the family's 1533-position model. The record is from RNAcentral. Lineage: Bacteria; Bacillati; Actinomycetota; Actinomycetes; Micrococcales; Microbacteriaceae.